Molecule: long non-coding RNA, 1744 nt
Filed under: Salmo salar (Atlantic salmon)
Lineage: Eukaryota; Metazoa; Chordata; Actinopteri; Salmoniformes; Salmonidae
Description: lncRNA (ENSSSAG00000117309.1)
Source: RNAcentral
GCAAACGCAUACUGUAUCGUGCAUGGCAGUGCAGCCAAUAUACAACCAUACACAGCGGCUUCUUUUCAUUUAGGCCUAUCUCGUUCGGAUUACAGCCGGGUAGAUAUCAGACAGGAUAUGUACCACAGUAUCCAUGGAUUUAUUUUUACAAUUUUCUGUCUAUUUCUGAUUUUCCAAUUUCUGGAACUUUGAGCUCUUUGUGUGUUUUUUGUUGCUUGUUUGUGCAUCCUUUUGGAAGGGUGCUCUGCGCUCCCGUACGUUGUGUGUUGGUUGAAAGGUCCCAGUUUGGAUAUUACACUCUAGUUUUUGUCUUCGCUCACACUGGCCAUAAUGACUGAGCGCUGUUCCAGCCUUCUGUCGGCUUCAGCAGGAAAACCUCCGUCUAAAGUUUGAAUAUAACCGUGGUUUAGGGGGUCCGUGACUACAUAGUGAACUGGAUUUGCAAUUAUCUAUCGAUUGCAACCGAGAGCGGAUAUACAGUCUCCGCAAACAGAGUUCCCUCUGCUGGAUUUAUUCAACUACUGGAUUUAUUCAUAAAUCAUGAAGACCAGUCUUGUUGAGGAGAUUUACCCCGAUGCUGCCAGUGGCUUGCAGCUAUCAAGAAUGAUGCUUAUGGUGACCAAAGAUUAUCAGAGGAAUUUUCAGGCUGAACUGAUCGGUAAUCCAUUUCGACGACAGCUGAGAAAUGAUGUGAUACCGUCAAUGUUUUUCUUCGCAACAAAAUAGAAGAUUCUCGAUUGGAGGCAGUACAGAAUCUGAUUCCACCAGCCUGUGCUUCCAACCCCUAGCUCUGCAGAAGAUGAAGGUUAUUUCGAGUCCUUCCACAGUGCCCUGCUGAAAAAUACCCAAAGCGGCAGCAUGAGGGAGCGGACACACAACAAGAGCACAACAAGAUUGUGGGACAGAAACCAGCAAGGCACACUGAAAGGGCAGACAUCAUCAUUAAACGUUGACCUACCAGCGCCAUCACCCACUGUCACAGGACACCAGCACCCACUUACCCCAACAGGGCUCAACUUACUCCAUACCCGAGGACAGAGGAGGUGAUGUGGCGUUUCCCUGGGUCUGGGCUCAUCCUUUACGCUGGAGAUAAAGAGAAGAGGGAUGAUAGCUUCCCAGUGUGGACAUGCAGUGGGCCAGGGCUCAAACUUUGGAAUGAAAAAGGUGACUGAUCCAUGGAGGGCUCUAAUGUAAAGAACACAUUUAUCGGCCUUAUCAGGAGACAGGGAGGAGGCAGAGGAGAUAGCCGAGCGCAGAAUAGUAUAUUGGUGUAGGUGGAAGUAAGACUCUGUCUCUCUGUCGCUCUCUCCUUCUUUUCCUCCUUAUCACGGCGUCUCCUCUGCAGAAAAUCAAUUUUCCUGCUGCAGGGCUCUUUGUCUGCACAGGGUACAGUGAUACAUCUGUUAAAUAAUGCACAGGCCUUUCUCUCUUCAUUCCUCUAAAGGAGAACAACUGCUCAGCUCGGCUUGCAACGACAGUGGUUCCCAACCUUUUUUGGGUACUGUACCCCUAAAACACUUUGACCUGCCUGAAGUGUGUGUGCGACCAGCGUGAUUCCUAGAUUAGGUGUACAUUUGACAAAAAUGUGGUUUACGCACCCAGUCAAGUUUGGCAGACUUCUUUUCAGUGUCAGGGAAGCAGUGGUGUGUAUUCAUGGAUUGACCAAUAAAAUUAAAUAAAAACAAAAAAUGAUGUAUCUUUCGUCUCUCUGUGUUUCAUAAUUUUCCUUCAAUUCACAAUUGGC